CUGAAAACCAAACCAGUUCACCUUUAUAUUAUUUUUGUUCAAAAUAGGUAUUAGUCUUAUAAUAGUGUAUUUAGUGUUUAGACUCUAUGAAAUUCUUGAGAGUUGCUGCAUGCUUUAAUCUCACUUGUAACGUCUGUAUUCCGUGCUAUAAGGAGAUAUGAAAGUUUUGCUUUAUAAUUUU
Long non-coding RNA from Chelonia mydas (Green sea turtle), 181 nucleotides. RefSeq lists it as uncharacterized. The record is from RefSeq and is a predicted model, not a curated record. The transcript has 2 exons. Lineage: Eukaryota; Metazoa; Chordata; Testudines; Cheloniidae.